Molecule: long non-coding RNA, 1648 nt
Filed under: Anas platyrhynchos platyrhynchos (common mallard)
Lineage: Eukaryota; Metazoa; Chordata; Aves; Anseriformes; Anatidae
Description: lncRNA (ENSAPLG00000022643.1)
Source: RNAcentral
GAGGAGACGUGCAGUUGGUGCUGUUUGCUUCAUUUUAGGUGCUGCGGGGACAGGUGUUCACAAAAGCCUCUCACUGCCAACGUGGAGGCUCCUGCAGCACUCACAUCCACUUGGACAAGGCACGGGGCUGUGUGCCCAGUCCCAGGACGCUACACUCAGAUGUACCGUGCAUUAAUAAUGCCUGAUACGCGCUGUAAAUAUUUUAAAGGUAGGGGCAAUGAAUGUUAAACUAACCAGUUGUGCCUUCCUCCACAGCUGAUAGAUAGUGACUUCGCUUUUGUGUGUGUUAGAUGCAAUUUAAAAGAGCUGAACAUCCAAUAUGGAUGAGAGCGAUUGUGAGGCAGCGCGCUCCUGCUCUUUGAAAUUGGACUUCUGAUGUCUUCUUCUUUCUGCUCAGAUAAAGUAACUAUUGAAUACAUUAUCAUUCUCAGAGGAGACUUUUUUCCCUGUUCUUCUGGAUGAAGUGUGUCUUGCUGGCCCAGUUUUUAAAGGCAGAACAACUUCCACCUGCAGGAGAUGCUGGAUAUAUAGCAAACGGCUUAAUUCGGCCACGCAGCUCAAGCCACUGCUGCAUGUUUGGUUGCAUGGCUGUGUUCAGGUAACCUGCUUAUUAAUUACCCCUUUGUGCACCAAGAGGAUGAGAACAAGUCUUUUAGAAAAUAUUUACAGGAAGAGAUCAGUGCUCUCUGAACCCCAGAAAUGCCCCAAAAAAUUCCACGUAUGUACUAGAGGCGGUGGAAGGAGCUCCCCUUUUAGGAGCGGAUCACUUCUAAAGGCUCGAGCUGAUGGCAAACAGGCGGUUGUGCACACAGCAGCCGGUACGUGGCCGUCACAGGCUGGGGCAACUGAGGGCAGUCCCAAGGUCUUGGAGGAGAGAAUCGCAAAGUGUUGUAUCGAGGGCAAAGGAAAGGAAAUAGGCUGGCUUGUGCUUCCAACUGACAGCUCAAAAAAUGGUGUUGAGGGCUGCCUGGGAGGAGAUGGGGAAGGAAAAAGAUUGUCUGGGGGUGAUUUUUGGAAGAGGUUCAUGAAUGAUGUGCAUGAAGCUGCUCUGUCUCGAGGCCUGGCUGUGGACGGGGUGACCUGUGCAGGUGUUUCCUAUCCUAUUUCAUACGAGUGCUGCGACGUCCUGGCAAGCUGACGGUGCAGCCCUGUGCAGCAGAAUAACGGUGGUACCUGGCAUGCAGCAUCCCAGAAGCGAUUUAAAAAUAGAUCUAGAAAAGAGGUCAGACAAACUCCACAUGGACAAGGGUAGAAAUUAAUGAUACGUUUUCCCUGCACGUAUCCGUGCAGAUGCACGCCGUGCAUGCUGAUGUGCAGCGAACAAGGGGUGGGGGGGAGCCAGAGGCUGAGCACAGCCACGGGUGCGGGAGGAGAGGAAUCGGCACGGGUGCUCCGAGCCCUCCUUGUACUGCUUUCUAUUGAAACGAGCACUGUCCUUCUAGUCAGUCAAAUCCUGAUUGGUUUACAAGCAAACUUACAGCUAGUUCUCCGUCGGAAUGGACGUGAAGGAGAGCAGCCUUGCUGUGACGGAACCGACUGCGGGGUGAUCUCCACGUGAGUUGUGAGUGCAGCCCGGGCAAUGCUGCCACCUCCGAGGAGCAGAGGAGCAAGCAGCUGGCAAAGAGCCCUUCAGCCACUCCUCAAUUAC